RNAcentral lists this ribosomal RNA (320 nucleotides) under uncultured eukaryote. RNAcentral's name for it is "partial 18S ribosomal RNA". It matches the Rfam family "Eukaryotic small subunit ribosomal RNA", at positions 1470 to 1796 of the family's 1831-position model. The record is from RNAcentral.
CCCUUAGAUGUUCUGGGCCGCACGCGCGUUACACUGAUGCAUUCAACGAGUUCUUCCUUGGCCGAGAGGCCUGGGCAAUCUUUUGAACGUGCAUCGUGAUAGGGAUAGAUUAUUGCAAUUAUUAAUCUUGAACGAGGAAUUCCUAGUAAACGCAGUUCAUCAAACUGCAUUGAUUACGUCCCUGCCCUUUGUACACACCGCCCGUCGCACCUACCGAUUGAAUGGUCCGGUGAAGCCUCGGGAUGGCGGCUUGGUCGCUUGCGUCCGACUGCUGAAACUUGAUUAAACCAUAUCAUUUAGAGGAAGGUGAAGUCGUAACA